This 832-nucleotide long non-coding RNA is filed under the name Pan troglodytes (chimpanzee). RNAcentral's name for it is "lncRNA (ENSPTRG00000054221.1)". The record is from RNAcentral. Lineage: Eukaryota; Metazoa; Chordata; Mammalia; Primates; Hominidae.
GAUGUUUUAAUGAGUGAGUAUAUUUGAUUGGUGCAAAAGUAAUUGUGGUUUUUGCCAUUUCUUUUAAUAUAUGUCAAAACUUAUCACAUUUUAAACCCUAAAUAUGUACAGGUCAAUAAUGCUAUUUUUGAAAUUACAACUGCACAAUGAAUUGUGUAAUUACAGGUGAGACUAAAGAGCUACAAAGUGAGUGUGCUGGACACUCUGAGAAUCUACAACUGGAGAAGCCAACAUUGCCUGUGGACUGAGAGCCACAUCCCAGAAAGUGAUGUUCAAGUUGAGAUGGGAAAGAUGGGUUGGAAAUGGGGGGGCAGGGGGAUGAGGGAGGAGGAUGCUGGGGGAGAAAAGAAAAAUCCUGGCCGAGGAAACUAAGUAUGUCAGGCUCCUGAGGAGUGGGGAGGCAGCAUGGUGGACCAGAGGGGCUUGGUGAAGCCAGAGAGGACAGAGGGAAUGCUUGACACAUCAAGCCUUUGUUUUCUCUCAUCCAGAUGUCCAGUGGUCUCAGGCAAAGGCCCAGGCAAUGGAGGCUUCCCAUGGGGCCCUCUACCUCUUCACUGCUCCAGGUCGGAUCUGCAGCCUGACGUGGCCAUUCCUCCAGUGUUUGGAGAAUCAUUGCCUUGCCUUCAUUCAGGAGCCAGAUUGCCUGGGCUAGAAUCCCAGCUCCACCAUUCACCAGCUGUGUAAACUCCCUGGGCCUCAGUUUUCUCACCUGUAAAAUGGGAUUCAUUGGACUGUUAUGGAUUAAAUGAGUUGACUUUUAUAAAGUACUUAGAAGAACCUUAUUUAUUUGUUAUGUAUAAAAUGAAAUUCCAUCCUGCCUAAUAAAUAUCAG